Molecule: ribosomal RNA, 444 nt
Filed under: uncultured bacterium
Lineage: Bacteria
Description: SSU rRNA
Rfam family: Bacterial small subunit ribosomal RNA
Source: RNAcentral
AGAACGAACGCUGGCGGCAGGCUUAACACAUGCAAGUCGAGCGCCCCCGCAAGGGGAGCGGCAGACGGGUGAGUAACGCGUGGGAACAUACCCUCCGGUUCGGAAUAGCUCAGGGAAACUUGGAUUAAUACCGGAUACGGCCUAGCGGCGAAAGAUUGAUCGCCGGAGGAUUGGCCCGCGUCUGAUUAGCUAGUUGGUGGGGUAAUGGCCCACCAAGGCGACGAUCAGUAGCUGGUCUGAGAGGAUGAUCAGCCACAUUGGGACUGAGACACGGCCCAAACUCCUACGGGAGGCAGCAGUGGGGAAUAUGGACAAUGGGCGCAAGCCUGAUCCAGCCAUGCCGCGUGAGUGAUGACGGCCUUAGGGUUGUAAAGCUCUUUCGCUAGGGACGAUAAUGACGGUACCUAGACAAGAACGCCCCGGCUAACUCGUGCCAGCAGCCGC